The sequence is a non-coding RNA, 225 nucleotides long. It matches the Rfam family "T-box leader". Rfam says of the family: Uncharged tRNA acts as the effector for transcription antitermination of genes in the T-box leader family. T-boxes are found upstream of many aminoacyl-tRNA synthetase genes and some amino acid biosynthetic genes usually in Gram-positive bacteria. The anticodon of a specific tRNA base pairs to a specifier sequence within the T-box motif, and the NCCA acceptor tail of the tRNA base pairs to a conserved bulge in the T-box antiterminator hairpin.
UAAAAAGCAAAGAAGAAGAGGAGUAAAGAUAUAGGAGUAUUAUAAAGAGAGGAAAACUCGUAGGCUGAAAAGUUUUCCAUACGAAUUAUCUUGAAGGUAGCUUUGGAGCUUCUUUAUCGAAAUAGGAGUAGAUAAAGACGGUGGAUCACAUCGUUAAUUUAAUGAGUGCUUGAAUAUUUAAAUGUUUCAAGAAUUAAGGUGGUAACGCGCACUGUCGUCCUUUAG